This 512-nucleotide ribosomal RNA is filed under the name uncultured bacterium. RNAcentral describes it as "partial 16S ribosomal RNA". It matches the Rfam family "Bacterial small subunit ribosomal RNA", at positions 28 to 507 of the family's 1533-position model. The record is from RNAcentral.
GAUGAACGCUGGCGGCGUGCCUAAUACAUGCAAGUCGAGCGAACAGACCUGGCGCUUGUUCCUCUGACGUUAGCGGCGGACGGGUGAGUACCACGUGGAUAACCUCCCUAUAAGACUGGGCUCACUUGUGGAAACUGGAGCUAAUACCGGAUAAUAUAUUCAACCUCAUGGUUCAAUAGUCAAAGACGGUUUUUAUGUGACUUCUUGAUCGAUCCCCGCGGCAUUGCCCCGCUGUGCAUUAGCUAGUUGGUAAGGUAAAGGCUUACCAAGGCAAUGAUGCGUAGCCGACCUGAGAGGGUGAUCGGCCACACUGGAGCUGAGACACGGUCCAGACUCCUACGGGAGGCAGCAGUAGGGAAUCUUCCACAAUGGGCGAAAGCCUGACGGAGCAACGCCGCGUGAGUGAAGAAGGUCUUCGGAUCGUAAAGCUCUGUUAUUAGGGAAGAAGAAAUGUGUAAGUAACUAGGCACGACUUGACGGUACCUAAUCAGAAAGCCACGGCUAACUACGUG